Molecule: long non-coding RNA, 605 nt
Filed under: Populus trichocarpa (black cottonwood)
Lineage: Eukaryota; Viridiplantae; Streptophyta; Magnoliopsida; Malpighiales; Salicaceae
Description: long non-coding RNA (PTRI_LNC003938)
Source: RNAcentral
AAUAAUAUUAAGAAUGAGGGGUGAGUUCAACCAACUCAGUGAGGGAAUAAUAAUUAAUAUACAUUUUAGAUAUUCUUGAUAUUAAUAGUUCGCAAGAUCAUUUAUCUUGAUAUACAUAUACAUAUACAUAUACAUACUAAACAUAUUAUAUACAUAUCAUAUACAUACAAAACAUAUCAUAUACAUAUCAUAUACAUACUAAACGUAUCAUCAUAACGUAGUGGACUACAUGUCAGAGAUCAGAUGACACCCGGAGGUGACCAGAUGACACACGAAGGUGACCAGAUGACACCCGAAGGUGACCACUGUGGGAUGAUCAGUCGCCACAGGCUGAUGCCUCUCUCACCAGCUAGGUUUACAGAAUAUUAUGUGCACAUAGGCUAACUACUCUCUGUUAGCAUGGAGUUACUGACAAGUCCCAUAUCAAGGCAUAAUAGAUAUUCACAUAAUCAUCAAAGAAACGUAUAUCAUAUCAAAUAAAAUUUACUUUGACAGAUUGCGAGUGCAAAUUCAAGAAUAAAUGAGUACUCAGAAAUAAAGCAACGUAUAUAAAUAUUCAAGAAAUUUACUAAUUGUACUCAUCAUAUAAUCAACAUACGUAUUUA